RNAcentral lists this ribosomal RNA (460 nucleotides) under uncultured bacterium. RNAcentral describes it as "partial 16S ribosomal RNA". It matches the Rfam family "Bacterial small subunit ribosomal RNA", at positions 338 to 795 of the family's 1533-position model. The record is from RNAcentral.
CCUACGGGUGGCAGCAGUGAGGAAUAUUGGUCAAUGGACGAGAGUCUGAACCAACCAAGUAGCGUGAAGGAUGACUGCCCUAUGGGUUGUAAACUUCUUUUAUAUGGGAAUAAAAUGUUCCACGUGUGGGAUUUUGUAUGUACCAUAUGAAUAAGGAUCGGCUAACUCCGUGCCAGCAGCCGCGGUAAUACGGAGGAUCCGAGCGUUAUCCGGAUUUAUUGGGUUGAAAGGGAGCGUAGGUGGAUUGUUAAGUCAGUUGGGAAAGUUUGCGGCUCAACCGUAAAAUUGCAGUUGAAACUGGCAGUCUUGAGUACAGUAGAGGUGGGCGGAAUUCGUGGUGUAGCGGUGAAAUGCUUAGAUAUCACGAAGAACUCCGAUUGCGAAGGCAGCUCACUGGACUGAAACUGACACUGAGGCUCGAAAGUGUGGGUAUCAAACAGGAUUAGAUACCCUAGUAGUC